RNAcentral lists this small RNA (28 nucleotides) under Bombyx mori (domestic silkworm). RNAcentral's name for it is "ovarian small RNA-3867". The record is from RNAcentral. Lineage: Eukaryota; Metazoa; Arthropoda; Insecta; Lepidoptera; Bombycidae.
UGUAUUCCAGCACGGGCUGGAGCGCUGC